This 203-nucleotide unclassified non-coding RNA is filed under the name soil metagenome. RNAcentral describes it as "partial contains 5.8S ribosomal RNA, internal transcribed spacer 2, and large subunit ribosomal RNA". The record is from RNAcentral.
AACCUAGCACACCUGCGGUGUGUACCUGCGGAGGGAUCAUUACCUAGAGUUGUAGGCUUUGCCUGCUAUCUCUUACCCAUGUCUUCUGAGUACCUUACGUUUCCUCGGUGGGUUCGCCCGCCGGUUGGACAAAACUUAAACCCUUUGUAGUUGCAAUCAGCGUCUGAAAAAACUUAAUAGUUACAACUUUUAACAACGGAUCU